This 2902-nucleotide ribosomal RNA is filed under the name Klebsiella pneumoniae. Its description in RNAcentral is "23S ribosomal RNA". It matches the Rfam family "Bacterial large subunit ribosomal RNA". The record is from RNAcentral. Lineage: Bacteria; Pseudomonadati; Pseudomonadota; Gammaproteobacteria; Enterobacterales; Enterobacteriaceae.
GGUUAAGCGACUAAGCGUACACGGUGGAUGCCCUGGCAGUCAGAGGCGAUGAAGGACGUGCUAAUCUGCGAAAAGCGUCGGUAAGGUGAUAUGAACCGUUACAGCCGGCGAUGUCCGAAUGGGGAAACCCAGUGUGAUUCGUCACACUAUCGUUAACUGAAUACAUAGGUUAACGAGGCGAACCGGGGGAACUGAAACAUCUAAGUACCCCGAGGAAAAGAAAUCAACCGAGAUUCCCCCAGUAGCGGCGAGCGAACGGGGAGCAGCCCAGAGUCUGAAUCAGCUUGUGUGUUAGUGGAACGGUCUGGAAAGUCCGACGGUACAGGGUGAUAGUCCCGUACACCAAAAUGCACAGGUUGUGAACUCGAAGAGUAGGGCGGGACACGUGGUAUCCUGUCUGAAUAUGGGGGGACCAUCCUCCAAGGCUAAAUACUCCUGACUGACCGAUAGUGAACCAGUACCGUGAGGGAAAGGCGAAAAGAACCCCGGCGAGGGGAGUGAAAAAGAACCUGAAACCGUGUACGUACAAGCAGUGGGAGCACCUUCGGGUGUGACUGCGUACCUUUUGUAUAAUGGGUCAGCGACUUAUAUUCUGUAGCAAGGUUAACCGUAUAGGGGAGCCGCAGGGAAACCGAGUCUUAACUGGGCGUUAAGUUGCAGGGUAUAGACCCGAAACCCGGUGAUCUAGCCAUGGGCAGGUUGAAGGUUGGGUAACACUAACUGGAGGACCGAACCGACUAAUGUUGAAAAAUUAGCGGAUGACUUGUGGCUGGGGGUGAAAGGCCAAUCAAACCGGGAGAUAGCUGGUUCUCCCCGAAAGCUAUUUAGGUAGCGCCUCGUGAAUUCAUCUUCGGGGGUAGAGCACUGUUUCGGCUAGGGGGUCAUCCCGACUUACCAACCCGAUGCAAACUACGAAUACCGAAGAAUGUUAUCACGGGAGACACACGGCGGGUGCUAACGUCCGUCGUGAAGAGGGAAACAACCCAGACCGCCAGCUAAGGUCCCAAAGUCAUGGUUAAGUGGGAAACGAUGUGGGAAGGCACAGACAGCCAGGAUGUUGGCUUAGAAGCAGCCAUCAUUUAAAGAAAGCGUAAUAGCUCACUGGUCGAGUCGGCCUGCGCGGAAGAUGUAACGGGGCUAAACCAUGCACCGAAGCUGCGGCAGCGACACUAUGUGUUGUUGGGUAGGGGAGCGUUCUGUAAGCCUGCGAAGGUGACCUGUGAGGGUUGCUGGAGGUAUCAGAAGUGCGAAUGCUGACAUAAGUAACGAUAAAGCGGGUGAAAAGCCCGCUCGCCGGAAGACCAAGGGUUCCUGUCCAACGUUAAUCGGGGCAGGGUGAGUCGACCCCUAAGGCGAGGCCGAAAGGCGUAGUCGAUGGGAAACAGGUUAAUAUUCCUGUACUUGGUGUUACUGCGAAGGGGGGACGGAGAAGGCUAUGUUAGCCGGGCGACGGUUGUCCCGGUUUAAGCAUGUAGGCUGGUUGUCCAGGCAAAUCCGGAUAAUCAAGGCUGAGGUGUGAUGACGAGGCACUACGGUGCUGAAGUAACAAAUGCCCUGCUUCCAGGAAAAGCCUCUAAGCAUCAGGUAACAUCAAAUCGUACCCCAAACCGACACAGGUGGUCAGGUAGAGAAUACCAAGGCGCUUGAGAGAACUCGGGUGAAGGAACUAGGCAAAAUGGUGCCGUAACUUCGGGAGAAGGCACGCUGGUGUGUAGGUGAAGUCCCUGCGGAUGGAGCUGAGACCAGUCGAAGAUACCAGCUGGCUGCAACUGUUUAUUAAAAACACAGCACUGUGCAAACACGAAAGUGGACGUAUACGGUGUGACGCCUGCCCGGUGCCGGAAGGUUAAUUGAUGGGGUUAUCCGUAAGGAGAAGCUCUUGAUCGAAGCCCCGGUAAACGGCGGCCGUAACUAUAACGGUCCUAAGGUAGCGAAAUUCCUUGUCGGGUAAGUUCCGACCUGCACGAAUGGCGUAAUGAUGGCCAGGCUGUCUCCACCCGAGACUCAGUGAAAUUGAACUCGCUGUGAAGAUGCAGUGUACCCGCGGCAAGACGGAAAGACCCCGUGAACCUUUACUAUAGCUUGACACUGAACAUUGAGCCUUGAUGUGUAGGAUAGGUGGGAGGCUUUGAAGCGUGGACGCCAGUCUGCGUGGAGCCAACCUUGAAAUACCACCCUUUAAUGUUUGAUGUUCUAACGUUGGCCCCUUACCGGGGUUGCGGACAGUGUCUGGUGGGUAGUUUGACUGGGGCGGUCUCCUCCCAAAGCGUAACGGAGGAGCACGAAGGUUAGCUAAUCCUGGUCGGACAUCAGGAGGUUAGUGCAAUGGCAUAAGCUAGCUUGACUGCGAGCGUGACGGCGCGAGCAGGUGCGAAAGCAGGUCAUAGUGAUCCGGUGGUUCUGAAUGGAAGGGCCAUCGCUCAACGGAUAAAAGGUACUCCGGGGAUAACAGGCUGAUACCGCCCAAGAGUUCAUAUCGACGGCGGUGUUUGGCACCUCGAUGUCGGCUCAUCACAUCCUGGGGCUGAAGUAGGUCCCAAGGGUAUGGCUGUUCGCCAUUUAAAGUGGUACGCGAGCUGGGUUUAGAACGUCGUGAGACAGUUCGGUCCCUAUCUGCCGUGGGCGCUGGAGAAUUGAGGGGGGCUGCUCCUAGUACGAGAGGACCGGAGUGGACGCAUCACUGGUGUUCGGGUUGUCAUGCCAAUGGCACUGCCCGGUAGCUAAAUGCGGAAGAGAUAAGUGCUGAAAGCAUCUAAGCACGAAACUUGCCCCGAGAUGAGUUCUCCCUGAGACUUUAAGUCUCCUGAAGGAACGUUAAAGACGAUGACGUUGAUAGGCCGGGUGUGUAAGCGCAGCGAUGCGUUGAGCUAACCGGUACUAAUGAACCGUGAGGCUUAACCUU